GCAACCGGCGGCGCCCGCCCGCCGAGCGGCCCCGCUCCAGAAGGUUCGGGCCGGGUCCCGGCGCGGUUCCCCGCGGGGAGCAGCCCCACGCGUGGGGCCCCACGCCGCUCCUCCCCACGCCGCCCCUCGGGCUGCCUCUCCCGAAGACCCGUUUUUGCCCGGCGAGGCCCCCGGUCCGGCCCGGCCCGGCUUGGGGAGGGGUGUGCAGGCCCCGGCGGGGAGCAGGCCCGGCCUUCACCUCAGCUCCUGUCAGGCGUUUGCAGAACUGUAAUAUGGAAAUCCAGCCGCUGCCUCCAGAGAUGUGGAGACCUGCAGUGUCCAGAGGAAGGUGCCCGUCUCUCCCGUCAUGGCUGUGCUGGUGAGUGAGGGGCAGCAUGCCCUUGGGCAGCCAAUUUUGUUGAGGAGGAAAGGGAAGAGUCUACUUUUCCUUCCUAUAAACUCCCCUGGGGACCGCGCCACACAGUAAAUAUUUGGAGCUUACCUUUUCCAGCGGUAUUUUUUAUUUGAAAAGAUGUAGAUGGUAAGGCAACAGGAAACUACGAGACAAACUGCUCUGUCUUGUUGCCCUGACUCCAGCUCUGGUUAGGAGGUAAAAAGGCAAAUUCAGACUACAUGCAUCUCAUUUCUACGGCCUUUCUAGACAGCCACUGAUGUUCAGUGUGACAACUGCUCUGGGACGGCAGAGACAUCUAGUGGGAAUAAGAUUUUUACCAUGGCAGCUCAGCAGAGACGACACCUUUUAAACUACAGCCUUUU
This 756-nucleotide long non-coding RNA is filed under the name Aquila chrysaetos chrysaetos. RNAcentral describes it as "lncRNA (ENSACCG00020001435.1)". Lineage: Eukaryota; Metazoa; Chordata; Aves; Accipitriformes; Accipitridae. The record is from RNAcentral.